This 317-nucleotide ribosomal RNA is filed under the name uncultured Pezizaceae. RNAcentral's name for it is "eukaryotic LSU rRNA". The stretch from base 1 to 101 matches the Rfam family "5.8S ribosomal RNA", at positions 53 to 154 of the family's 154-position model. The record is from RNAcentral. Lineage: Eukaryota; Fungi; Ascomycota; Pezizomycetes; Pezizales; Pezizaceae.
AUGCGAUAAGUAAUGUGACUUGCAAUCAUCGUGAAUCAUCGAAUCUUUGAACGCACAUUGCGCCCUAUGGUAUUCCGUAGGGCAUGCCUGUCUGAGCGUCAGCUCCCCCCCACUCAAGCCUCUUUAUUGAGGCUUGGAUUUACUUGAAGAAGUGGCUGAUAAAGCUACUCUUUAGAAAUUUAUAGGCAGUAUGGCACCUGAACCAGGCGUAAUAAGGAUAUAAAAGCGUCUCUCUUUAGGAAAGUUGUACUUGCCUCAACCCACCCAUUAUUCUUCUGGGUGACCUCAGAUCAGGUAGGGAUACCCGCUGAACUUAA